UACGGGGGGGGCAAGCGUUGUUCGGAAUUACUGGGCGUAAAGGGCUCGUAGGCGGCCAACUAAGUCAGACGUGAAAUCCCUCGGCUUAACCGGGGAACUGCGUCUGAUACUGGAUGGCUUGAGUUUGGGAGAGGGAUGCGGAAUUCCAGGUGUAGCGGUGAAAUGCGUAGAUAUCGAGAGGAACACCUGCGGCGAAGGCGGGUUGCUGGGCUGACACUGACGCUGAGGCGCGAAAGCUAGGGGAGCGAACGGG
This 253-nucleotide ribosomal RNA is filed under the name uncultured bacterium. RNAcentral's name for it is "partial 16S ribosomal RNA". It matches the Rfam family "Bacterial small subunit ribosomal RNA", at positions 524 to 776 of the family's 1533-position model. The record is from RNAcentral.